UUUCCGUAGGUGAACCUGCGGAAGGAUCAUUAAUGUAACCGGACCGUUCCUUUGCCGUAAAGUGCACUGGAUUGGAAAGGGAGAUAUCAUACACCCUAUGUUUAUUUACUUUUGUUGCUUUGGUGGGCCGUCCUUUACGGCGUCGGCCUCGGCUGAUCGCGCCCGCCAGAGGACCCAAACUCUUUUAUUAGUGAUGUCUGAGUACUAUAUAAUAGUUAAAACUUUCAACAACGGAUCUCUUGGUUCUG
This 248-nucleotide unclassified non-coding RNA is filed under the name plant metagenome. Its description in RNAcentral is "partial contains small subunit ribosomal RNA, internal transcribed spacer 1, and 5.8S ribosomal RNA". The record is from RNAcentral.